Non-coding RNA from Heterocephalus glaber (naked mole-rat), 2311 nucleotides. Lineage: Eukaryota; Metazoa; Chordata; Mammalia; Rodentia; Bathyergidae. The record is from RefSeq and is a predicted model, not a curated record.
GUGACUCUGGCUCUUCCCAAAGUCAAAAUGACCACGAAAGGGAAGCGUUUUGAAUCCAUUCAGCACAUCGAGGCAGCCAGGACAGUACAGCUAAAGACACUGAGGAAAGAGGGCUCCACAGCUGCUGCAGAAAGUGGCAAAAAUGAUGGGAUGAAAACAUUCACAAUAUUUUUCCGUCGUGCUGUAUUUCCUGGCGUGGCCACAUGGGGGCAGGGAAUGUGUUCUGCUCCCCAUUUUCCUCUUACUGCCUAGUGUCAUAUCUGGCAUAAAACAGGUACUCAAAUAUUUUUUAUUGUUUGCACCCAGUUGGUGCUCAAUCAAUGUGCCUUGAAUAGAUGCACUUAUGGAUAACCACACGUUAUCCAUAAGUAUAUGGAGCCCAUCAAAGGAGGACGAGAGGCCUGCCAGGCAACAAACCUCACAAACAGGAGCCAGGAGGAGGCUGAAGGCAGAGGGCAGCCCUGCAGCCGGAGCGGGCAGCUGCGUGUGGACACGGUUCUGCCCGGAAGGACCCUGAGCUGUAAGGGCAGCGAGGAGGGGAGCCGUGCAGAAGGACGGGAGAGAAAAUAAAACAAACGGAAGACUUGAAUGUUCAUUUUCAAGGUUUGCAAUCUUUGUCCAGAAAGACAAGGAAACAGCUGAAUUCUCAGCGAAAUCACACAAGCUAAAUACGUGACAGUUUGAUCAGUCCCUGAGGAAGGUGACAAAGGGGAGGGCUUGGAGCACUGAGCAAGAACGGAGGUGCGGGGGGGGGGGGUCUCUGUUCUCGGGGACCUGUGACCCAGCCGGGCUCCGCAAUGCAACAACAAUUGGAGAGUUGCUUUUAACUAAAACUAUUGCCGCAAACCCACGGCUGUCCUCAUGGAGUCAGAUCGGAUGGGCAAGCCCUGGCCUCACCGCAGGGCCAGAGGACAGACAACUUAGUAAAUGUGGGGUGCCUACAUGUCCUCACCUGUGACAGCAGGACAAAGCGCUCGUGUCCUCUGGAUCUUGUGAGGGGAAAGGGAAAAGAGUUUGUCGAAAAGAGUUUUGUCAGGGGUCAGGGACGAAGUAAACACCCAGUAAAAGUCAGCUUGGGGGAUGAGGGCAGGAAAAGGGGAGGAGCGGACGCCCAUAGCACCUCAGGGACUGCCAGAGCUUCCCAACAGCGCCCGGCCCGCUGCAGCCCUGCUUGAAGGCCAUGCUCCGUCUGGGGGGUGUGGGAAUGUGGGAGGCCUUUUCUUUCAUCAAAGGAAAAAUUGUGCCCAAAUCCCUGGGUUUGACCCCAGCAAUGACUGAAGAAGAAAAAAAAAAGGAAAGAAAGACAAAUAUUAAAAAGAGAACUCUCAUUAGAAAUGUCACUUCACUCUUCCUGUACCCAUCUGCCCUGAACCACGGCUCAGGGAGCAGAACAGCCAGCCGGGCUCCUGGGUGCCCAGCCCAGUGGCCCUGGUUGGCCGGCACUCAGCCAGUCAGGCCAUUUGUCCCGCCCGGGAAAUGAGCAGGACCUCCUGAGGCUGUGUCACUCAGGCCACACAGUAUUUCUCCACACCAAGCCGCCCCCGGCUGGUGGACAGAACGCCAGUGAUUCGUGUGAUCACUCAGGCCCGGAACAGGAGAGCCUGGUAGGGCUGGGGACAGGGCUGGAGACAGGGACCAAAGAGAAGCCUGGGUUCCUGAAGAACAGGUCGGCCACGCCACACGGACACAGGUGCGCACUCUUCAGCCCCUGCUCCGGGAAAGUCGUGCCCGUGGUCUCCGGCCCAGGUCCUGUGCAGGGAGGUAAACAGGAAGCUUUCCCAUCCCCACCCGGCCCGCAGUGCCAGCAGGUGGAGACAGCCUGUGAGCCCAAGCUGUGCCACGGGGACAGCUUCGUGUGUCCAGGGCCCACAGGCCCUAGAAGGAAACGAGCCUGCCCAGGGGCAUAGAGGAGGACACCAGACCACGAGAGGCAGCCAUGUCAUCCUAGGGAGACGGAGCCUCCCCACAACCAAAGAAAUGAAGCGCUCUCCAAGCCCCGCUUUGUGGACAAGGAGACGGAAGAGCAGAGACUAGUAGAGCACCCCAAAUCGCUCAGCGGUCCUCCCCCAGGUGCGUCUGCUCCUGCAACGUAUCGGGAAGCUCCUGCAACAGAACCGAGGACAGCAGUCAGAGCCAGCUGCCCCCAAACGCGUGACAGCCAGCCUUGGCCACGUCGGCUGCCCCGUGGGUUUGCUGUGGCACAGCGAGUUUUGGUGGUGGCUCAUCCAGAUGACCCCACUCCUCCGCAGCGUCCUCGGCUCGAGGGGUCUGGGGGGCCCCUCCCGCACCCAUAAUGGCAGAGUCUGACAUC